Molecule: small nuclear RNA, 114 nt
Organism: Hemibagrus wyckioides
Lineage: Eukaryota; Metazoa; Chordata; Actinopteri; Siluriformes; Bagridae
Product: U5 spliceosomal RNA
Exons: 1
Source: RefSeq, a predicted model, not a curated record
AUCUCUGGUUUUUCUAAAUUCAUGCAUAAAUAUUUUGCCUUUUAUUAAAGAGUUCUGUGGAGAGGGACAUCAAGGAGUUUGAUGUAUUUUUGUGAGCUUUGCUCUGGCAAAGCU